GCACUGCUGAGGAGUCCCAUACCAGGACGAAACGGCCGUCCGGUGC
Non-coding RNA from Schistosoma curassoni, 46 nucleotides. NCBI's taxonomy places the organism in Eukaryota, Metazoa, Platyhelminthes, Trematoda, Strigeidida, Schistosomatidae. The record is from Rfam.